UAGAAGCUCCCCAUGUUCUC
Molecule: microRNA, 20 nt
Filed under: Glycine max (soybean)
Lineage: Eukaryota; Viridiplantae; Streptophyta; Magnoliopsida; Fabales; Fabaceae
Description: gma-miR4996
Source: miRBase by way of RNAcentral